UAGGGAAUAUUGGACAAUGGGCGCAAGCCUGAUCCAGCCAUCCCGCGUGUAGGAUGACGGCCCUCUGGGUUGUAAACUACUUUUAUCAGGGAAGAAACCGGAGGAUUUAUCCUCCGUUGACGGUACCUGAGGAAUAAGCACCGGCUAACUCCGUGCCAGCAGCCGCGGUAAUACGGAGGGUGCAAGCGUUAUCCGGAUUUACUGGGUUUAAAGGGUGCGUAGGUGGUUUGGUAAGUCAGUGGUGAAAGCCCGGGGCUCAACUCCGGAAUUGCCAUUGAUACUGCCAGGCUUGAGUACAGUUGAGGUAGGCGGAAUGUGUCAUGUAGCGGUGAAAUGCUUAGAUAUGACACAGAACACCGAUUGCGAAGGCAGCUUGCUAAACUGUAACUGACACUGAGGCACGAAAGCGUGGGGAUCAAACAGG
This 424-nucleotide ribosomal RNA is filed under the name uncultured bacterium. RNAcentral describes it as "bacterial SSU rRNA". It matches the Rfam family "Bacterial small subunit ribosomal RNA", at positions 355 to 776 of the family's 1533-position model. The record is from RNAcentral.